RNAcentral lists this ribosomal RNA (443 nucleotides) under uncultured bacterium. RNAcentral describes it as "partial 16S ribosomal RNA". It matches the Rfam family "Bacterial small subunit ribosomal RNA", at positions 338 to 795 of the family's 1533-position model. The record is from RNAcentral.
CCUACGGGAGGCAGCAGUGGGGAAUAUUGGGCAAUGGUCGCAAGCCUGACCCAGCAACGCCGCGUGAAGGAAGAAGGCUCUCGGGUUGUAAACUUCUUUUCUCAGGGACGAAGCAAGUGACGGUACCUGAGGAAUAAGCCACGGCUAACUACGUGCCAGCAGCCGCGGUAAUACGGAGGGGGCCAGCGUUCUCCGGAUUUACUGGGUGUAAAGGGCGUGUAGGCGGGACUGCAAGUCAGAUGGGAAAACCACGGGCUCAACCUGUGGCCCGCAUUUGAAACUGUCGUUCUUGAGUACUGGAGAGGCAGACGGAAUUCGCAGUGUAGCGGUGAAAUGCGUAGAUAUUAGGAAGAACACCAGUGGCGAAGGCGGUCUGCUGGACAGCAACUGACGCUGAGGCGCGAAAGCGUGGGGAGCAAACAGGAUUAGAUACCCCUGUAGUC